AUAAUUUUCAAAAAUAUGAAAAAAUAUAAUACAAUUUUGACGCUGAAAUCAUUAAUCUUAAAAUCAACAAAAAGUUAUUGAAAUUCAAUAUUCUUUUACGUUAAAGGCUCACUCACUACUAACAAGUACUAUACACACAACAACACAUUAUUCAAAAAAACAAACACAAAAUAUAUUAAUCUAUCACCUACUACUACAUAACACACUAAAAACACCAAAUAAUGUUUUUAACAAAUAAAAACGAUAACAUAAUUACAUUAUCCAAAAAAUCAUGCUCUUAGCAAUAAUAAAACAAUAUUCCG
This 302-nucleotide long non-coding RNA is filed under the name Brassica napus (rape). RNAcentral's name for it is "long non-coding RNA (BNAP_LNC015616)". The record is from RNAcentral. Lineage: Eukaryota; Viridiplantae; Streptophyta; Magnoliopsida; Brassicales; Brassicaceae.